AGCGAACGCUGGCGGCAGGCCUAACACAUGCAAGUCGAACGAGCCUUCGGGCUAGUGGCGGACGGGUGAGUAACACGUGGGAACGUACCUUUAGGUUCGGAAUAACUCAGGGAAACUUGAGCUAAUACCGGAUGUGCCCUUCGGGGGAAAGAUUUAUCGCCUUUAGAGCGGCCCGCGUUAGAUUAGCUAGUUGGUGGGGUAAUGGCCCACCAAGGCUACGAUCUAUAGCUGGUUUGAGAGGAUGACCAGCCACACUGGGACUGAGACACGGCCCAGGCUCCUACGGGAGGCAGCAGUGGGGAAUCUUGGACAAUGGGGGCAACCCUGAUCCAGCCAUGCCGCGUGAGCGAUGAAGGCCUUAGGGUUGUAAAGCUCUUUCAGCGGGGAAGAUAAUGACGGUACCCGCAGAAGAAGCCCCGGCUAACUCCGUGCCAGCCGCCGCAGUAA
Molecule: ribosomal RNA, 447 nt
Filed under: uncultured bacterium
Lineage: Bacteria
Description: partial 16S ribosomal RNA
Rfam family: Bacterial small subunit ribosomal RNA
Source: RNAcentral